RNAcentral lists this ribosomal RNA (254 nucleotides) under uncultured bacterium. RNAcentral's name for it is "partial 16S ribosomal RNA". It matches the Rfam family "Bacterial small subunit ribosomal RNA", at positions 29 to 281 of the family's 1533-position model. The record is from RNAcentral.
AACUAACGCUGGCGGCGCGUCUUAAACAUGCAAGUCGAGCGGUAAGGCCCGCAAGGGUACACGAGCGGCAAACGGGUGAGUAACACGUAGGUAACUUCCCCUCAGUGGAGGACAACCUGUAGAAAUAGCAGGCUAAUACUCCAUACUCUCGGUUCUUCCACGGAAGUUCCGACGAAAGACAGCAAUGCGCUGAGGGAGUGGACCUGCGGCUGAUUAGCUUGUUGGCGGGGUAACGGCCCACCAAGGCGACGAUC